Molecule: ribosomal RNA, 516 nt
Filed under: uncultured bacterium
Lineage: Bacteria
Description: bacterial SSU rRNA
Rfam family: Bacterial small subunit ribosomal RNA
Source: RNAcentral
AGAGUUUGAUUCUGGCUCAGGAUGAACGCUAGCUACAGGCUUAACACAUGCAAGUCGAGGGGCAGCAUUAGGUUAGCUUGCUAACCUGGAUGGCGACCGGCGCACGGGUGAGUAACGCGUAUCCAACUUCCCCCUGCUCAGGGAUAGCCCGGUGAAAACCGGAUUAAGACCUGAUGGUUUCACUAGAUGGCAUCUGACGGUGAAUAAAGGUUUCGGCAAGGGAUGGGGAUGCGUCUGAUUAGCUUGUUGGCGGGUAACGGCCACCAAGGCGACGAUCAGUAGGGGUUCUGAGAGGAAGGUCCCCCACAUUGGAACUGAGACACGGUCCAAACUCCUACGGGAGGCAGCAGUGAGGAAUAUUGGUCAAUGGGCGGAAGCCUGAACCAGCCAAGUAGCGUGCAGGAAGACGGCCCUAUGGGUUGUAAACUGCUUUUGUGCGGGAAUAAAGUCAGGGACGCGUCCCUGUUUGCAUGUACCGCAAGAAUAAGGACCGGCUAAUUCCGUGCCAGCCGCAGC